This is a non-coding RNA of Phrynosoma platyrhinos (Desert horned lizard), 71 nucleotides long. The record is from the annotation of a GenBank genome assembly. NCBI's taxonomy places the organism in Eukaryota, Metazoa, Chordata, Lepidosauria, Squamata, Phrynosomatidae.
GCCAGUGUGGUAUAGUGGUUUGAGUAUUGUCUGUGAUUCAAGAGACCAGGGUUCAGUUCCCUGCUCAGUCA